UAAGAGAAAUAAAUAUUAAUUUAUUUUGCUUGGGCACUACGAACACAUGUUUAAAACCCAAAGAACUUGGCGGUACUUUAACCCACUUAGGGGAACCUGUCCUUUAAUUCGAUAAUCCACGACAAUCUUAUUUAUUUUAGAACUUUUCAGCUUGUAUACCGUCGUCAUAAGUUAACCUUAAAAAGAAAAAAAGUUAACAAUAAAGAUAAAUUACUUAAAAAUUUCUCACAGGUCAGAUCAAGGUGCAGCUCAUAAAUAAAGAAGGAGAUGGGUUACAGUUAAUAAAUUCUAAUAGAAUCUUCAUAGAAAAAUGAAAAAUAAAAUAGGACUUAAAAGUAAUUAGUGAUAACAAACACUAAUGAAUAAGGAAAUAAAGUGUGU
Molecule: ribosomal RNA, 381 nt
Filed under: Cellana pricei
Lineage: Eukaryota; Metazoa; Mollusca; Gastropoda; Nacellidae
Description: partial 12S ribosomal RNA
Rfam family: Bacterial small subunit ribosomal RNA
Source: RNAcentral